This is a long non-coding RNA of Phyllopteryx taeniolatus (common seadragon), 3037 nucleotides long. RefSeq lists it as uncharacterized. The transcript has 4 exons. NCBI's taxonomy places the organism in Eukaryota, Metazoa, Chordata, Actinopteri, Syngnathiformes, Syngnathidae. The record is from RefSeq and is a predicted model, not a curated record.
GCCUCUUCUGCUCCUCACCAAUUAACGCAUGCAUAACAUCAGCUGGAUCAAGUUGUGUUUGAUGCCCGCGUUGUUCUCCAGGCGUCCUCUUAUGGCACUGAAAUCUAAUAAAUGGUACAAUUUUGGUUCCUUAAUGACACAGGGCGCAGGUGCAGGGUUCUUCUUGAUAUGGCAUUUAGGAAACGAUUGAUUUGACGCAAAGGUUGUUUGUCCCCAAACAAGGCCGAGAAACAGACUCGUAAUAUAUUUGUCAUCAUCUGUGUUUUUAGUGACUUGAUUUUGAUUAGAUGCGGUUGUUGUUGUUUCGUCAUGUCCCCUUGUCAAUGUUCACGUCUUGUCUUGUCUUCCUUGUUAGCUUUUCGUUCCCAUCGAGGGUCCUCCACACCAACACCGCAAAAACCCAAUUGCUCAGAACUUCAUUUCAGGUCAAAACUAUGAAAAUAAUUCCUUUUAGAGGGAGCAAAUACGGAAAACCGACUUGUCAAUUGCUGCAUCCAAAUAUUUGGGUCUCGAGAGUGGCAGCCAUCAAUCAGUACGAAAUGACAAUGACUUUUCAAUUCUCAUUAGGGUCAUUUUCAUAUAAUUUGAUCAAUUUGUGUUUGAUGAUACUGAUUGGACGUGAUUAGGAAAGCCGCACACCUGUCGAUAUAAAACCUUACAGCUCACCGUGCAUGUCAGAGCAAAUGAGAAUCAUGAGGAACUGCCUGAAGAGCUCAGAGACAGAAUUGUGGCAAGGCACAGAUCUGGCCAAGGUUACAAAACAAUUUCUGCUGCACUUAAGGUUCCUAAGAACACAGUGGCCUCCAUAAUCCUGAAACGGAAGACGUUUGGGACGACCAGACCAAAAUGGCUGCCCACCAACGUUCACCAUCCAACCUGACAGAACUGGAGAGGGUCUGCAAGGGGGAAUGGCAGAGGAUCCCCAAAUCCAGGUGUGGAAAACUUGUUGCAUCAUUCCCAAAAAGACUCAAAAGGGUGCUUCCACUAAAUACUGAGCAAAGGGUCCGAAUACUUCAUCUGCAAAAAUUCCAACAAUUCAACAAUAUAUAUGUAUAUAUAUAUAUGUUUCUUUACCAUUAUUGAUCAAAUUGUAUGAAAAUGACCCGUAAACCGAUGUCAUUCCAUCUCUUAACCAUACAAGUGUUGGCUCAUCGUCAGCCAUUUAUUCAUAGGCUGGCUUCAAAUCUCUUUUUGGUCGACUCGUCAAAUACCUGUCCUGGAGUUCACUCGCCGUUCGUGCUUUGAGCCACAUUUGCCCCGAGAAGAUGUUUAACCAGUGUCUGUACAACUGAAUGGCAUUCAAUUAUGAACGCGUUUAUCAGUAUUGAGGUUAGAGCCCUUUCUAAUUUACUCCUCCUCUGUUGUCGCAACAUUAAGACCCUCAACCCCACAUCCCCCCACGCGCGCACACACACACACACACAAAUUCACUCGCUGCUCACGUGUUAUCUAAACUUCCCACAUUGGCAAUCUGAUAUUAAAGCCUGAUUAUAAAGUCUCCUUCUCGCCUCCCCACUACUCAUCCCCUGCCAAAUGAACACAGUGAAUGAGCUUCUCCUACGCUGUUUUAACAAGAUUAAAGCUUAGAAUCAGGUAUGGUUUCAUACCAGUUUUGUCCAGAAGGAAACUCGAGACUCACCAAUAUCAUUAGUGAGCAGACAUAAUGUAAUUACUCUUGAAGAGGGUGUCUGUGUGUGUGUGUGUGUGUGUGUGUGUGAUAGUGAAGUGUAUUUCAAGUGAACUUUUUUGGUCAUUUUCCCAGUGGCUUCAUGUUUUUGUCAGUAUGGAUUAUACAUGUAAGUUUGUGGUGAGCUUUAUGCUUUGUUUGCACACAACCAUAAUAACUGAGUUGAACUUUUUCCACAUUUCAGGCGUCAAGAGUAUUGGAGGUCAGAGGUCUCACAUUUAUCACAGUUAAGUGUCAGAUAUAGGCAGCGUGGGUGGGAUGCAAUGUAUGCAUUUGUGAAUGUGUGUGUGUGAGAUCACUGCAGGAUGACGUGAGUUAUCUUUGUCGACCUGUCGGAGGAGAAAAGUCAGAUGGCACAGCAGAUAAGGAAUUAAUGGAGGAAGUAGAAGAAACACGCAUGAAGUUACAGAUGUUGCAGGAUGUGAAGAACGGAGAGGAUAAAAAAUGCAAAAGGCACUCCUCAGUCACACCCCGGUGGUAAGCUGCCUGUGUAGCCUUAGCUGCCCUGGAGAAGACGCGUGGCUGCCAUUCUGCGCCCUCCGACCACCACCAAACAUCUAACCACAUGAAUUCGUCGUCAAUGUGGGUAAAGUGUCUUGCUCAGGGACACAACGACGACAUGCACUCAGUGUGGCGACCCAGUUUUGGGGGUUUCAGAGCUUCAGCAUAUUACACAGCGAGUGUGACUGUAGGUUCCCAACAGUCGGAAUUUCAUCCACUGGCAAUUCUCCAGUCCCAUUUAGUCAUCUCACUUCACUUUACGUCUUAGCGCUCCGGGAUGCACGUGGCUCUACGUUGACGAUGCUCCCCCCCCCCCGAGUAACAGCUCCACCAGCCGUACCAAUGCAGACAGUCCCAAAGCGCCGCCAUUUUCUGAUGACAGAAACAUUGUGAGAGCUGUGAAGAAACACCCAAAGACGACAGUCAGUGACAUCACUGCCAACCUCCACAGGGCAGCGGUGAAGGUAUCACAAUCCACUGUUCGAAGAAGACUUCGAGAGAAGAAAUACACAGGCCAUACCACAAGACGCAAACCACUCAUCACCAAAAGGAAUCUGAAAAUCAGAUUGGAUUUUGCAAAGUUCAGAGAUGAGCCACAAAAGUUUGGGAACAAAGUUUUAUGGACUGAUGAGACCAAGAUUAACAUCUUCCAAAGUGAUGGAAAGGCCAAAUUAUGGUGAAAGAAUGGAUCUGCUGUUGGUCCAAAACACAGAAGCUCAUCUAUGAAGCAUGGUGGAGAAAAAUCCAUCCAAACUAAUCGGGAGAAGCUUCAUCAUGCAACAAGACUAUGACCCAAAACACACUGCCAACACAACAAAGGACUUCAUCGGGGGGGGGGGGGGGGGGAAG